This 30-nucleotide non-coding RNA is filed under the name Mus musculus (house mouse). Lineage: Eukaryota; Metazoa; Chordata; Mammalia; Rodentia; Muridae. The record is from RNAcentral.
UAAAAACCUUUCCAGAAUCAAAAGGUACGC